This 380-nucleotide ribosomal RNA is filed under the name uncultured bacterium. Its description in RNAcentral is "bacterial SSU rRNA". It matches the Rfam family "Bacterial small subunit ribosomal RNA", at positions 28 to 408 of the family's 1533-position model. The record is from RNAcentral.
GACGAACGCUGGCGGCGUGCUUAACACAUGCAAGUCGAGCGGUAAGGCCCUUUCGGGGGUACACGAGCGGCGAACGGGUGAGUAACACGUGGGUGACCUGCCCUCAGCUCUGGGAUAAGCCUGGGAAACUGGGUCUAAUACCGGAUAUGACUCCAUGACGCAUGUUGUGGGGUGGAAAGCCUUGUGCGGCUGAGGAUGGGCCCGCGGCCUAUCAGCUUGUUGGUGGGGUGANGGCCUACCAAGGCGACGACGGGUAGCCGGCCUGAGAGGGCGACCGGCCACACUGGGACUGAGACACGGCCCAGACUCCUACGGGAGGCAGCAGUGGGGAAGUCUUGCGCAAUGGGCGAAAGCCUGACGCAGCGACGCCGCGUGAGGGA